AAAUUGAAGAGUUUGAUCAUGGCUCAGAUUGAACGCUGGCGGCAGGCCUAACACAUGCAAGUCGAACGGUAACAGGAAGAAGCUUGCUGUUUCGCUGACGAGUGGCGGACGGGUGAGUAAUGUCUGGGAAACUGCCUGAUGGAGGGGGAUAACUACUGGAAACGGUAGCUAAUACCGCAUAACGUCGCAAGACCAAAGA
RNAcentral lists this ribosomal RNA (199 nucleotides) under Escherichia coli. RNAcentral's name for it is "partial 16S ribosomal RNA". It matches the Rfam family "Bacterial small subunit ribosomal RNA", at positions 1 to 207 of the family's 1533-position model. Lineage: Bacteria; Pseudomonadati; Pseudomonadota; Gammaproteobacteria; Enterobacterales; Enterobacteriaceae. The record is from RNAcentral.